RNAcentral lists this ribosomal RNA (322 nucleotides) under uncultured Cercomonas. RNAcentral describes it as "bacterial SSU rRNA". The stretch from base 110 to 322 matches the Rfam family "Eukaryotic small subunit ribosomal RNA", at positions 741 to 955 of the family's 1831-position model. The record is from RNAcentral. Lineage: Eukaryota; Cercozoa; Cercomonadida; Cercomonadidae.
GAUUUCUGGUUAAUUAUCCUAGCCCGCUUCCUUCGGGGGGUGAGUGCUGGUAUAACUAUCCAUCCUUCCAGAGAGCCGUGAGUACCCUUUACUGGGCCGCUCGCGUGCGAUCUGGAUCGUUUACUUUGAAAAAAUUAGAGUGUUUAAAGCAGGCUUACGCCUUGAAUACAUUAGCAUGGAAUAAUAACAUAGGACUUCGGUUCUAUUUUGUUGGUUUCUAGGACCUUAGUAAUGAUUGAUAGGGAUAGUUGGGGGUGCUAGUAUUCAGCGGCCAGAGGUGAAAUUCUUGGAUUCGCUGAAGACUAACUACUGCGAAAGCAUU